This 565-nucleotide small RNA is filed under the name Pan troglodytes (chimpanzee). RNAcentral's name for it is "processed transcript". Lineage: Eukaryota; Metazoa; Chordata; Mammalia; Primates; Hominidae. The record is from RNAcentral.
ACUCGGCUGUGCGGCGGGGCAGGCAUGGGAGCCGCGCGCUCUCUCCCGGCGCCCACACCUGUCUGAGCGGCGCAGCGAGCCGCGGCCCGGGCGGGCUGCUCGGCGCGGAUGGCUCCCUAAUGAGUAGAAUGAGACCUGUGUGCCAACCCUGGCCUAGUCCUCAUGCCCCCACAACUGUGAAGCGAGAGGGCUCAACAGUUUCGAAUUCAAUUCAACCACCACCUCCUGAAUACCAACUAGGUUCCAGGACCUGGCUAGAAGCAGAGACACCAGGACAGAAAAGAUAGUGUUCUGCCUUCAUGGAGUUCACAGAAGAGUCGAGGAGACACAGCUGGAUCCUCCCUGUUUACCCCAGUGGAUGCUAAAUGCUUUGGUGAAGAGGAGACAUCCCUGCACAAAGCAGAGCUGUGGAUUCUCUGACCUCCUUGAAGACUCUCUUCUGAGCUGCAGUGGACAUUUGCCAUAUUUUUAUUAAUGGGUGUCUGUCAUCAAAUAUCCCUCUGUAAGGGUUGGUCACUGUUGUGGCUUCUCUCGAUGUGAGGUCGGACUCACCUUCCAUAUCAAA